UUGGAGGGCAAGUCUGGUGCCAGCAGCCGCGGUAAUUCCAGCUCCAAUAGCGUAUAUUAAAGUUGUUGCAGUUAAAAAGCUCGUAGUUGAAUUUCGGGAUCAGUACGCUGGUCGUGCCUUUGGUAUGUAUUGGUGUCACUGAUUCCUCCCUUCUGAAGAACCGUUAUGCCAUUUAUUUGGUGUGGCGGGAAAUCAGGACUGUUACUUUGAAAAAAUUAGAGUGUUUAAAGCAGGCUAACGCCUGAAUACAUUAGCAUGGAAUAAUGAAAUAGGACGUUCGAUCCUAUUUUGUUGGUUUCUAGGAUUGACGUAAUGAUUAAUAGGGAUAGUUGGGGGCAUUAGUAUUCAAUUGUCAGAGGUGAAAUUCUUGGAUUUAUUGAAGACUAACUACUGCGAAAGCACUUGCCAAGGAUGUUUUCAUUAAUCAAGAACGAAAGUUAGGGGAUCGAAGACGAUCAGAUACCGUCGUAGUCUCAACCAUAAACUAUGCCGACUAGGGAUCGGAUGAUGUCAAUUUUUUAAUGACUCAUUCGGCGCCUUACGGGAAAC
This 549-nucleotide ribosomal RNA is filed under the name uncultured Glomeraceae. RNAcentral describes it as "SSU rRNA". It matches the Rfam family "Eukaryotic small subunit ribosomal RNA", at positions 548 to 1098 of the family's 1831-position model. The record is from RNAcentral. Lineage: Eukaryota; Fungi; Glomeromycota; Glomeromycetes; Glomerales; Glomeraceae.